GGACCCGGCGGCUCUAACGAGGAGCGCUCCCUUCACACGGGAGAGGUCCAAGGUUCGAUCCCUUGUGCGUCCACCA
This 76-nucleotide transfer RNA is filed under the name Bradyrhizobium sp. WBAH10. RNAcentral's name for it is "tRNA-Val". It matches the Rfam family "tRNA". Rfam says of the family: Transfer RNA (tRNA) molecules are approximately 80 nucleotides in length. RNAcentral also lists the same sequence under 5 other names. The record is from RNAcentral. Lineage: Bacteria; Pseudomonadati; Pseudomonadota; Alphaproteobacteria; Hyphomicrobiales; Nitrobacteraceae.